GUGAGGAAUAUUGGACAAUGGGCGCAAGCCUGAUCCAGCCAUGCCGCGUGCAGGAAGACGCAUCUAUGGUGUGUAAACUGCUUUUGUACGGGAAGAAACACUCCCUCGUGAGGGAGCUUGACGGUACCGUAAGAAUAAGGAUCGGCUAACUCCGUGCCAGCAGCCGCGGUAAUACGGAGGAUCCAAGCGUUAUCCGGAAUCAUUGGGUUUAAAGGGUCCGUAGGCGGUUUAAUAAGUCAGUGGUGAAAGCCCAUCGCUCAACGAUGGAACGGCCAUUGAUACUGUUAGACUUGAAUUACAAGGAAGUAACUAGAAUAUGUAGUGUAGCGGUGAAAUGCUUAGAUAUUACAUGGAAUACCAAUUGCGAAGGCAGGUUACUACUUGUGGAUUGACGCUGAUGGACGAAAGCGUGGGGAGCGAACAGGCUUAGAAACCCCUGUAGUCC
RNAcentral lists this ribosomal RNA (445 nucleotides) under uncultured bacterium. RNAcentral's name for it is "partial 16S ribosomal RNA". It matches the Rfam family "Bacterial small subunit ribosomal RNA", at positions 354 to 796 of the family's 1533-position model. The record is from RNAcentral.